Molecule: long non-coding RNA, 1654 nt
Organism: Callithrix jacchus (white-tufted-ear marmoset)
Lineage: Eukaryota; Metazoa; Chordata; Mammalia; Primates; Cebidae
Source: Ensembl
CCCCAGUGUUUAGUACUCCCCUCCCUGUGUCCAUGUGUUCUCAUUUUUCAUCACCCACCUAUGAGCGAGAAUAUGCGGUGUUUCAUUUUCUGUUCUUGUGUCAGUUUGCUGAGGAUGACGUUCUCCAGAUUCAUCCAUGUGUUCUCAUUUUUCAUCACCCACCUAUGAGUGAGAAUAUGCGGUGUUUCAUUUUCUGUUCUUGUGUCAGUUUGCUGAGGAUGACGUUCUCCAGAUUCAUCCAUGUCCCUACAGACGACACAAACUCAUCAUUUCUGAUUGCUGCAUAAUAUUCCAUAAUGUAUAUGUGCCACAUUUUCCCAAUCCAGUCUGUUAUCAAUGGGCAUUUUGGUUGACUCCGGGUCUUUGCUAUUGUAAACAGUGCUGCAAUGAACAUUCGUGUCCAUGUGUUCUUAUAGUAGAACGAUUUAUAGUCUUUUGGAUAUAUACCCAGUAAUGGGAUUGCUGGGUCAAAUGGAAUUUCUAUUUCUAAGGCCUUGAGGAAUCGCCACACUGUCUUCCACAAUGGUUGAACUAAUUUACACUCCCACCAACAGUGUAAAAGUGUUCCAUUUUCUCCACAUCCUCUCCAGCAUCUGUUGUCUCCAGAUUUUUUAAUGAUCGCCAUUCUAACUGGCGUGAGAUGGUAUCUCAAUGUGGUUUUGAUUUGCAUCUCUCUGAUGACCAGUGACGAUGAGCAUUUUUUCAUAUGAUUGUUGGCCUCAUAUAUGUCUUCUUUCGUAAAGUGUCUGUUCAUAUUCUUUGCCCACUUUUGAAUGGGCUUCUUUGUUUUUUUCCUGUAAAUCUGUUUGAGUUUUUUGUAAAUUCUGGAUAUCAGCCCUUUGUCAGAUGGGUAGACUGCGAAAAUUUUUUCCCAUUCUGUUGGUUGCCGAUCCACUCUAGUGACUGUUUCUUUUGCCGUGCAGAAGCUGUGGAGUUUCAUUAGGUCCCAUUUGUCUAUUUUGGCUUUUGUUGCCAAUGCUUUUGGUGUUUUGUUCAUAAAGUCCUUGCCUACUCCUAUGUCCUGGAUAGUUUUGCCUAGAUUUCCUUCUAGGGUUUUUAUGGUGCCAGGUCUUAUGUUUAAGUCUUUAAUCCAUCUGGAGUGAAUUUUAGUGUAAGGUGUCAGGAAGGGGUCCAGUUUCUGCUUUCUGCACAUGGCUAGCCAGUUUUCCAAACACCAUUUGUUAAACAUGGAAUCCUUUCCCCAUUGCUUGUUUUUGUCAGGUUUAUCAAAGAUUGUAUAGUUGUAUGUAUGUUGUGUUGCCUCCGGUGCCUCUGUAUUGUUCCAUUGGUCUAUAUCUCUGUUUUGGUACCAGUACCACGCUGUUUUGAUUACUGUAGCCUUGUAGUAUAGUUUGAAAUCCGGUAGUGUGAUGCCCACCGCUUUGUCCUUUUUGCUUAGAAUUGACUUGGCUUUAUGGGCUCUCUUUUGGUUCCAUAUGAAGUUCAUGGUGGUUUUUUCCAGUUCUGUGAAGAAAGUCAGUGGUAGCUUGAUGGGGAUAGCAUUGAUUCUGUAAAUUACUUUGGGCAGUAUAGCCAUUUUCACGAUAUUAACUCUUCCUAACCAUGAACAUGGAAUGUUUCUCCAUCUGUUUGUGUCCUCUCUGAUUUCGUUGAGCAGCGGUUUGUAGUUCUCCUUGAAGAGGUCUCUUACGUU